GCUGGUGUGGUGCAGUGGUUUGAGCUUUGGACUAUGACUCUGGAAACCAGGGUUUGAAUCCUUGCUCUACCA
Molecule: non-coding RNA, 72 nt
Organism: Phrynosoma platyrhinos (Desert horned lizard)
Lineage: Eukaryota; Metazoa; Chordata; Lepidosauria; Squamata; Phrynosomatidae
Source: the annotation of a GenBank genome assembly